UACGUAGGGUGCGAGCGUUAAUCGGAAUUACUGGGCGUAAAGCGUGCGCAGGCGGUUCGUUAAGUUCGAUGUGAAAGCCCCGGGCUCAACCUGGGAACUGCAUUGGAAACUGGCGAGCUUGAGUGCGGCAGAGGGGGGUGGAAUUCCGCGUGUAGCAGUGAAAUGCGUAGAGAUGCGGAGGAACACCGAUGGCGAAGGCAGCCCCCUGGGCCGACACUGACGCUCGGGCACGAAAGCGUGGGGAGCAAACAGG
Molecule: ribosomal RNA, 253 nt
Filed under: uncultured bacterium
Lineage: Bacteria
Description: partial 16S ribosomal RNA
Rfam family: Bacterial small subunit ribosomal RNA
Source: RNAcentral